This 35-nucleotide small RNA is filed under the name Bombyx mori (domestic silkworm). RNAcentral's name for it is "ovarian small RNA-31044". Lineage: Eukaryota; Metazoa; Arthropoda; Insecta; Lepidoptera; Bombycidae. The record is from RNAcentral.
UGAAUAAAGUAUAUAUUGUGCCGCUGGUAUUCUCC